UUACGGCCACAUCACGUGGAAACAUCGGUUCCUGUACGAUUACCGAAGUUAAGCAACGUUGAGCCUGAUCAGUGCCUAGAUGGUUGACCGCUUGAGAAUACCAGGAACUGUAA
Molecule: non-coding RNA, 113 nt
Organism: Acanthosepion pharaonis
Lineage: Eukaryota; Metazoa; Mollusca; Cephalopoda; Sepiida; Sepiidae
Source: the annotation of a GenBank genome assembly